UACGUAGGGUCCGAGCGUUGUCCGGAGUUACUGGGCGUAAAGCGCGCGCAGGCGGCUCGUUAAGUCUGACGUGAAAGCCCCCGGCUCAACCGGGGAGGGUCGUUGGAGACUGGUGAGCUUGAGGGCGGUAGGGGCUGGUGGAAUUCCCGGUGUAGUGGUGAAAUGCGUAGAGAUCGGGAGGAACACCUGUGGCGAAGGCGGCCAGCUGGGCCGACCCUGACGCUGAGGCGCGAAGGCGUGGGGAGCGAACGGG
RNAcentral lists this ribosomal RNA (253 nucleotides) under uncultured bacterium. RNAcentral's name for it is "partial 16S ribosomal RNA". It matches the Rfam family "Bacterial small subunit ribosomal RNA", at positions 524 to 776 of the family's 1533-position model. The record is from RNAcentral.